AGUGAACGCUGGCGGUAGGCCUAACACAUGCAAGUCGAACGGCAGCACAGUAAGAGCUUGCUCUUACGGGUGGCGAGUGGCGGACGGGUGAGGAAUACAUCGGAAUCUACUUUUUCGUGGGGGAUAACGUAGUGAAACUUACGCUAAUACCGCAUACGACCUACGGGUGAAAGCAGGGGAUCUUCGGACCUUGCGCGAUUGAAUGAGCCGAUGUCGGAUUAGCUAGUUGGCGGGGUAAAGGCCCACCAAGACGACGAUCCGUAGCUGGUCUGAGAGGAUGAUCAGCCACACUGGAACUGAGACACGGUCCAGACUCCUACGGGAGGCAGCAGUGGGGAAUAUUGGACAAUGGGCGCAAGCCUGAUCCAGCCAUACCGCGUGGGUGAAGAAGGCCUUCGGGUUGUAAAGCCCUUUUGUUGGGAAAGAAAAGCAGCAGGUUAAUACCCCGCUGUUCUGACGGUACCCAAAGAAUAAGCACCGGCUAACUUCGUG
This 492-nucleotide ribosomal RNA is filed under the name uncultured bacterium. RNAcentral's name for it is "partial 16S ribosomal RNA". It matches the Rfam family "Bacterial small subunit ribosomal RNA", at positions 29 to 507 of the family's 1533-position model. The record is from RNAcentral.